UACGGAGGGGGCUAGCGUUGUUCGGAAUUAUUGGGCGUAAAGGGCGCGUAGGCGGCAGGAUAAGUCUGACGUGAAAUCCCUCGGCCUAACCGAGGAACUGCGUUUGAAACUGUCCAGCUCGAGUCCGGGAGAGGGUAGUGGAAUUCCCAGUGUAGCGGUGAAAUGCGUAGAUAUUGGGAGGAACACCGGUGGCGAAGGCGGCUACCUGGACCGGUACUGACGCUGAGGCGCGAAAGCCAGGGGAGCAAACGGG
RNAcentral lists this ribosomal RNA (253 nucleotides) under uncultured bacterium. Its description in RNAcentral is "partial 16S ribosomal RNA". It matches the Rfam family "Bacterial small subunit ribosomal RNA", at positions 524 to 776 of the family's 1533-position model. The record is from RNAcentral.